AAGCCCGAACCACGUUAAUUCAAAUUGGCCCGUACCCUAAACCGACACAGGUGGGAAGGUAGAGUAUACCCAGGGGCGCGAGAUAACUCUCUCUAAGGAACUCGGCAAAAUGGCCCCGUAACUUCGGGAGAAGGGGUGCCACCGAGAGGUGGUCGCAGUGAAGAGUCCCAGGCGACUGUUUACCAAAAACACAGGUCUCCGCUAAGUCGCAAGACGAUGUAUGGGGGCUGACGCCUGCCCAGUGCCGGAAGGUUAAGGAAGUUGGUCAGGGAGCAAUCCUGAAGCUAGCGACUGAAGCCCCGGUGAACGGCGGCCGUAACUAUAACGGUCCUAAGGUAGCGAAAUUCCUUGUCGGGUAAGUUCCGACCCGCACGAAAGGCGUAACGAUCUGGGAGCUGUCUCGGAGAGAGGCUCGGCGAAAUAGGAAUGUCUGUGAAGAUACGGACUACCUGCACCCUGACAGAAAGACCCUAUGAAGCUUUACUGUAGCUUGGUAUUGGGUUCGGGCUUUGAUUGCGCAGGAUAGGUGGGAGACUAAGAGAUAGCUCUUGUGGGAGUUAUGGAGUCACUGGUGAGAUACCACUCUAUCAAGGCUAGAAUUCUAACUUUGACCCGUUAUCCGGGCAGAGAACAGUAUCAGGUGGGCAGUUUGACUGGGGCGGUCGCCUCCUAAAUGGUAACGGAGGCGCGCAAAGGUUCCCUCAGGCUGGUUGGAAAUCAGCCAUUGAGUGUAAAGGCAUAAGGGAGCUUGACUGCGGGACUGACAAGUCGAGCAGGUACGAAAGUAGGCCUUAGUGAUCCGACGGUUCCGCGUGGAAGGGCCGUCGCUCAACGGAUAAAAGUUACUCUAAGGAUAACAGGCUGAUCUCCCCCAAGAGUUCACAUCGACGGGGAGGUUUGGCACCUCGAUGUCGGCUCAUCGCAACCUGGGGCUGUAGUCGGUCCCAAGGGUUGGGCUGUUCGCCCAUUAAAGCGGUACGUGAGCUGGGUUCAGAACGUCGUGAGACAGUUCGGUCCAUAUCCGGUGCAGGCGUAGGAACAUUGAGAGGAGUCUUCCUUAGUACGAGAGGACCGGGAAGAACGCACCGCUGGUGUACCUGUUAUCGUGCCAACGGUAAACGCAGGGUAGCCAAGUGCGGAGCGGAUAACCGCUGAAAGCAUCUAAGUGGGAAGCCCACCUCAAGAUGAGUGUUCCCAUGGCGUAAGCCAGUAAGGUCACGGGUAGACCACCCGUUAAUAGGCGCUAGAUGGAAGUCCAGCAAUGGAUGUAGUCGAGGCGUACUAACAGACCGAGGGCUUGACC
This 1303-nucleotide ribosomal RNA is filed under the name metagenome. RNAcentral's name for it is "bacterial LSU rRNA". It matches the Rfam family "Bacterial large subunit ribosomal RNA", at positions 1615 to 2925 of the family's 2925-position model. The record is from RNAcentral.